CCUACGGGAGGCAGCAGUGGGGAAUUUUGGACAAUGGGCGAAAGCCUGAUCCAGCAAUGCCGCGUGAGUGAAGAAGGCCUUCGGGUUGUAAAGCUCUUUUGUCAGGGAAGAAACGGUGAGAGCUAAUAUCUUUUGCUAAUGACGGUACCUGAAGAAUAAGCACCGGCUAACUACGUGCCAGCAGCCGCGGUAAUACGUAGGGUGCAAGCGUUAAUCGGAAUUACUGGGCGUAAAGCGUGCGCAGGCGGUUUUGUAAGUCUGAUGUGAAAUCCCCGGGCUCAACCUGGGAAUUGCAUUGGAGACUGCAAGGCUAGAAUCUGGCAGAGGGGGGUAGAAUUCCACGUGUAGCAGUGAAAUGCGUAGAUAUGUGGAGGAACACCGAUGGCGAAGGCAGCCCCCUGGGUCAAGAUUGACGCUCAUGCACGAAAGCGUGGGGAGCAAACAGGAUUAGAUACCCUGGUAGUCCACGCCCUAAACGAUGUCUACUAGUUGUCGGGUCUUAAUUGACUUGGUAACGCAGCUAACGCGUGAAGUGACCGCCGNGGNGGACGGUCGCGAGAUAAACGUACGAAAGAAGUAGAGNGNGAGAGAGACGACGGACGACGACGAGGGAGGAGG
Molecule: ribosomal RNA, 618 nt
Filed under: uncultured bacterium
Lineage: Bacteria
Description: bacterial SSU rRNA
Rfam family: Bacterial small subunit ribosomal RNA (bases 1-541)
Source: RNAcentral